AAGCGCUUGCAACCAGACUUGCGCGCGGCGGUUCCCCCUUCCUUCUGGUUGGGCUAUUCCGUCGUGUCCAGGCCAACAUCGGUUCUGGGGGUCGGUUAAAGGCUCGGGGAAUGUAUCUACCCUCCGGGCGUAGACUUAUAGCCCCGAGUGUCAUGCGGCCUCCCGGGA
RNAcentral lists this ribosomal RNA (168 nucleotides) under Rhinocladiella sp. RNAcentral's name for it is "partial large subunit ribosomal RNA". The record is from RNAcentral. Lineage: Eukaryota; Fungi; Ascomycota; Eurotiomycetes; Chaetothyriales; Herpotrichiellaceae.